UCGCGAAUCUUUCACAAUGGGCGCAAGCCUGAUGAAGCCACGCCGCGUGCGGGAUGAAGGCCCUUUGGGUUGUAAACCGCUGUCAAGGGAGGGGAACCGCUGCACGUGAACAAUGUGCAGUCUGACUGCUCCCUAAAGGAAGCCCCGGCAAAACAUGUGCCAGCAGCCGCGGUAAUACAUGUGGGGCAAGCGUUGUUCGGAAUUACUGGGCAUAAAGGGUGCGUAGGUGGUCUGCUAAGUCAGUGGUGAAAUCCCGUGGCCCAACCAUGGAACUGCCAUUGAUACUGGUGGACUCGAGUGCGUGAGGGGUGACUGGAACGCGUGGUGUAGCGGUGAAAUGCGUAGAUAUCACGCGGAAGGCCAACGGCGAAGGCAAGUCACUGGUGCGCAACUGACACUG
RNAcentral lists this ribosomal RNA (400 nucleotides) under uncultured bacterium. RNAcentral describes it as "bacterial SSU rRNA". It matches the Rfam family "Bacterial small subunit ribosomal RNA", at positions 355 to 748 of the family's 1533-position model. The record is from RNAcentral.